The submitters of this non-coding RNA (61 nucleotides) gave its source as unclassified sequences. The record is from Rfam.
AGAGUGGUCGCUGAGUUAGAGCUUAACAGCGUAAUCCCACUGCCUGACACGAACGAAAAGG